UGAGUCAGCCAUCUUGAUUGUAAGCGUGGUUUCGAGUAAUUUUUUUUCAGGUGAUCGUAUCACGAGUUAGUUCCCCUCACACAAGCCAAAACGUUCAGACCCAGCUUGUGUUAUAAGUGCAGCUUGUGCAAGAGCUUCUACGUUCGUUCGUACAAUAUUUUACUGCGUGAAUCUUCGGUACGGGUUGUACCACUCUGAAAGGAGUUAUUGCACUCUCACAAGCCAACAACUAUCGGCUUGAUCUAUCGGUGCGGGUUGCACCACUGAGUGUCCGAAAGUGUUUUAAAGUGUCUGAAGCCACCUGAAAGUGCCAGAAAGUGAAAUAAGUUGUAUUGCAGUUGCUUUCUCCUUGCACUGUUGGGAAUUCACGGAGGCAUAUCUCAAAACGAAAAUGCAGGCAAAUGAUGUAGAGGAAAAUCCAGGCCCUACAAUAUUUGAUGUCAUAGAUCCAACAAGAACAAUAUGUGCUGACUACAGUCAAAGAAAUGAAGCUCUCUUUGGCGAAAAUGCUGAAAUAAAAGAAACUAAACACAACAUAUGAAAAGGAAGCAAAAGUCUUUAACUGAAACACCAGAAGAAAAAGAAAAACAAUUGAUUGCUAGACAUGAAUAUGAGAAACGAAGAAGGGUAAAUGGAAGUGAGGAAUCUAGGGAAAAGAGGCUGGCCCAGCAGCUUUUGAACAGGGAAAAGAAACGUGCAAAUUAAUCUUCUGAAUCAAGAAAAAAGAGGCUGGCAACCCAAUCUCAGUAUCAGAGACAAAAAAUUGCAAUUGAAUCAGCAGAAUGUAGAGAGAGGAGACUGUUAAACCAACACCAAUAUCAGAAUGAAACUAGAUGCAUAAUUGUGUUCACCUAGGCUUUCUGUUGGAAAUAAACUUUGUUUUUUGUGCUAGCAUUUGCCUAAGUUUUUAUG
Non-coding RNA from Pocillopora verrucosa, 912 nucleotides. The record is from RefSeq and is a predicted model, not a curated record. Lineage: Eukaryota; Metazoa; Cnidaria; Anthozoa; Scleractinia; Pocilloporidae.